Molecule: long non-coding RNA, 269 nt
Filed under: Elaeis guineensis (African oil palm)
Lineage: Eukaryota; Viridiplantae; Streptophyta; Magnoliopsida; Arecales; Arecaceae
Description: long non-coding RNA (EGUI_LNC014304)
Source: RNAcentral
UUGCCUUCUAACUGAACUUGCUUGUUAUCACCAAGAUAAACUGGGACCUUCACUAAUUCAUCCAAAUUCUAAAAAAUCUCCUUGACACCUGUCAUAUGGUUGCUGCAACCACUGUCUAGAAAUCAGAUGUCAGCAUUACUUACUUCACCAUUCAAACAAGUAAAAACAAAUUAUUCUCCUCUUUCUUUUCUUCAAAAAAAUUUGCUUCAUGCUUAGAAUUUUCUGGACAGAAUUUUUUGAUAUGCCCAUAUUUCUUGCAAGAAUGACAC